RNAcentral lists this ribosomal RNA (497 nucleotides) under uncultured bacterium. RNAcentral describes it as "partial 16S ribosomal RNA". It matches the Rfam family "Bacterial small subunit ribosomal RNA", at positions 28 to 507 of the family's 1533-position model. The record is from RNAcentral.
GAUGAACGCUGGCGGCGUGCCUAAUACAUGCAAGUCGAGCGAACAGACGAGGAGCUUGCUCCUCUGACGUUAGCGGCGGACGGGUGAGUAACACGUGGAUAACCUACCUAUAAGACUGGGAUAACUUCGGGAAACCGGAGCUAAUACCGGAUAAUAUAUUGAACCGCAUGGUUCAAUAGUGAAAGACGGUUUUGCUGUCACUUAUAGAUGGAUCCGCGCCGCAUUAGCUAGUUGGUAAGGUAACGGCUUACCAAGGCAACGAUGCGUAGCCGACCUGAGAGGUUGAUCGGCCACACUGGAACUGAGACACGGUCCAGCCUCCUACGGGAGGCAGCAGUAGGGAAUCUUCCGCAAUGGGCGAAAGCCUGACGGAGCAACGCCGCGUGAGUGAUGAAGGUCUUCGGAUCGUAAAACUCUGUUAUUAGGGAAGAACAAAUGUGUAAGUAACUAUGCACGUCUUGACGGUACCUAAUCAGAAAGCCACGGCUAACUACGUG